RNAcentral lists this ribosomal RNA (601 nucleotides) under Comamonas testosteroni. RNAcentral describes it as "bacterial SSU rRNA". It matches the Rfam family "Bacterial small subunit ribosomal RNA", at positions 72 to 672 of the family's 1533-position model. Lineage: Bacteria; Pseudomonadati; Pseudomonadota; Betaproteobacteria; Burkholderiales; Comamonadaceae. The record is from RNAcentral.
CAGGUCUUCGGAUGCUGACGAGUGGCGAACGGGUGAGUAAUACAUCGGAACGUGCCUAGUAGUGGGGGAUAACUACUCGAAAGAGUAGCUAAUACCGCAUGAGAUCUACGGAUGAAAGCAGGGGACCUUUGGGCCUUGUGCUACUAGAGCGGCUGAUGGCAGAUUAGGUAGUUGGUGGGGUAAAGGCUUACCAAGCCUGCGAUCUGUAGCUGGUCUGAGAGGACGACCAGCCACACUGGGACUGAGACACGGCCCAGACUCCUACGGGAGGCAGCAGUGGGGAAUUUUGGACAAUGGGCGAAAGCCUGAUCCAGCAAUGCCGCGUGCAGGAUGAAGGCCCUCGGGUUGUAAACUGCUUUUGUACGGAACGAAAAGCCUGGGGCUAAUAUCCCCGGGUCAUGACGGUACCGUAAGAAUAAGCACCGGCUAACUACGUGCCAGCAGCCGCGGUAAUACGUAGGGUGCAAGCGUUAAUCGGAAUUACUGGGCGUAAAGCGUGCGCAGGCGGUUUUGUAAGACAGUGGUGAAAUCCCCGGGCUCAACCUGGGAACUGCCAUUGUGACUGCAAGGCUAGAGUGCGGCAGAGGGGAUGGAAUUCCGC